This 569-nucleotide ribosomal RNA is filed under the name uncultured bacterium. RNAcentral describes it as "bacterial SSU rRNA". It matches the Rfam family "Bacterial small subunit ribosomal RNA", at positions 64 to 622 of the family's 1533-position model. The record is from RNAcentral.
GAGGGGCAGCGGGGAGGUAGCAAUACUUCCGCCGGCGACCGGCGCACGGGUGAGUAACACGUAUGGAACCUGCCCGUAGCAGGGGGAUAAGCGGAAGAAAUUCCGUCUAAUACCGCGUAAUAACUCCGAGAGGCAUCUCAUGGAGUUUAAAGGGUAACACCGGCUACGGAUGGCCAUGCGGCGCAUUAGCUAGUUGGCGGGGUAACGGCCCACCAAGGCGACGAUGCGUAGGGGUUCUGAGAGGAAGGUCCCCCACACUGGUACUGAGACACGGACCAGACUCCUACGGGAGGCAGCAGUGAGGAAUAUUGGUCAAUGGGCGCGAGCCUGAACCAGCCAAGUCGCGUGAGGGAAGACGGUCCUAUGGAUUGUAAACCUCUUUUGUCGGGGAGCAAAAGACGCCACGUGUGGCGUUCCGAGAGUACCCGAAGAAAAAGCAUCGGCUAACUCCGUGCCAGCAGCCGCGGUAAUACGGAGGAUGCGAGCGUUAUCCGGAUUUAUUGGGUUUAAAGGGUGCGCAGGCGGAAGAUCAAGUCAGCGGUAAAAUUGAGAGGCUCAACCUCUUCGAG